Molecule: non-coding RNA, 171 nt
Filed under: Orenia metallireducens
Lineage: Bacteria; Bacillati; Bacillota; Clostridia; Halanaerobiales; Halobacteroidaceae
Also listed under: 1 other name
Description: Lysine riboswitch aptamer
Rfam family: Lysine riboswitch aptamer
About the family: Riboswitches are metabolite binding domains within certain messenger RNAs that serve as precision sensors for their corresponding targets.
Source: Rfam by way of RNAcentral
GAAUGGGGUAGAGGUGCAAAAGUCAAGAGUACUUUUAAGGAGAGUAGGAAAACUUGAAGAAUUAAAAGGAAAGGGGCAAUUGCCGAAGUGGUAAGUCUAUUCCAAACUUACUGCUGGGUCUGUAUUGAAUAGGUACAGAACUGCCACUAUCAGUGGAGCGCUAUCUCACUC